GGAGCAUACCACGUGAACGAUGAAGGUCUUCUGAUUGUAAAGUUCUUUUAUUUAGGAAAAAAAGCGCGCUAGGAAAUGAGCGCGCCUUGAUGGUACUAAUUGAAUAAGUGACAGCUAACUAUGUGCCAGCAGCUGCGGUAAAACAUAGGUCACGAGCAUUAUCCGGAUUUAUUGGGCGUAAAGGAAGCGUAGGCGGGGAGGUUGAUCCAUUGUUAAAGGCAUUUGCUUAACAAAUGUGUGCAUUGGAGAUCGCCUCCCUAGAGUUAAUCAGGGGGUACUGGAAUUCAAUGUGUAGCGGUGGAAUGCGUAGAUAUAUUGAGGAACACCAGAGGCUAAGGCGAGUACCUAGGAUAUAACUGACGCUGAGGCUUGAAAGCGUGGGGAGCAAAUGGGAUUAGAUACCCCAGUAGUCCACGCCGUAAACGAUGAGCAUUGGGCAUUUGACAUCUGGUCGAGUGCUGUAGCUAACGCGUUAAAUGCUCCGCCUGGGUAGUAUAUAUGCAAAUAUGAAACUCAAAGAAAUUGACGGGGACCUGAACAAGUGGUGGAGCAUGUUGCUUAAUUCGAUAAUACACGAAAAACCUUACCAAGGCUUGUAAUCUACUGCGAAGCUAUAGAAAUAUAGUGGAGGUUAUCAGUAAGACAGGUGGUGCAUGGCUGUCGUCAGCUCGUGUCUUGAGAUGUUUGGUUAAGUCCCGUAACGAGCGCAACCCUACUCUCUAGUUACUUAGUUCUAGAGUGACUGAAUCGUAAGAUAUAGGAAGGAUGGGGCCAAGUCAAGUCAUCAUGCCCCUUAUGCCUUGGGCUGCAAACGUGCUACAAUGGUAGGUACAAUGUGUUGCAAACUAGCGAUAGUGAGCUA
RNAcentral lists this ribosomal RNA (862 nucleotides) under Mycoplasma wenyonii. Its description in RNAcentral is "bacterial SSU rRNA". It matches the Rfam family "Bacterial small subunit ribosomal RNA", at positions 388 to 1270 of the family's 1533-position model. Lineage: Bacteria; Bacillati; Mycoplasmatota; Mollicutes; Mycoplasmatales; Mycoplasmataceae. The record is from RNAcentral.